CCUACGGGAGGCAGCAGUGGGGGGUAUUGGACAAUGGGCGAAAGCCUGAUGCAGCCAUGCCGCGUGUAUGAAGAAGGCCUUCGGGUUGUAAAGUACUUUCAGCGGGGAGGAAGGUGUUGUGGUUAAUACCCGGUAGGAAAGACAUCACUCGCAGAAGAAGCACCGGCUAACUCCGUGCCAGCAGCCGCGGUAAU
RNAcentral lists this ribosomal RNA (194 nucleotides) under uncultured bacterium. Its description in RNAcentral is "partial 16S ribosomal RNA". It matches the Rfam family "Bacterial small subunit ribosomal RNA", at positions 338 to 524 of the family's 1533-position model. The record is from RNAcentral.